Molecule: microRNA precursor, 107 nt
Filed under: Dasypus novemcinctus (nine-banded armadillo)
Lineage: Eukaryota; Metazoa; Chordata; Mammalia; Cingulata; Dasypodidae
Source: RNAcentral
CCCUCUUUGGUACUUGAAGAGAGGAUACCCCUUGUGUGUUCAUGCUUUUAAUGGUGAAUAUACGGGGGGAGACUCUUAUUUGCGUACCAAACUCCCUGGGAAGGCGC